This 69-nucleotide transfer RNA is filed under the name Olavius algarvensis. The record is from RNAcentral. Lineage: Eukaryota; Metazoa; Annelida; Clitellata; Tubificida; Naididae.
GACACUAUAGUUAAAAAUUAACAUUAAAUUGCAAAUUUAAAAAUCAUCAAAUAAUAAUUUGUAGUGUUU